Pelobates cultripes (western spadefoot toad) is the source of this 461-nucleotide non-coding RNA. The record is from the annotation of a GenBank genome assembly. Lineage: Eukaryota; Metazoa; Chordata; Amphibia; Anura; Pelobatidae.
GUAUUUUCCAUAGAAAUGAUGGCUCCCAGAAUUAGCAAACACACAAAGAAGAGUUCAGCCCCCACUCAUAGUCCUAAUCACAUGAUGCCACAAUAACGGAGUGCUCGCUGUAUGAGAGGUUUAUUGGGAUAUUCUUCUUUCCUAAGGCUAAAAGCAAACUGCAAAGUAGACAGGUAGUAUAGUUAAAAAACAUAUACCAGUGAGGGCGCCACAGUCACAAACAUAGCUAGCCUGCACUGUUCUGCACUUUAUCCCAUAUACCGCUCUUGUAUACAGUAAAAGCAAACUUCCAAUGUUUUUUACAGAUCGUACGUAGGUGAUGACAUUUGUUAUUGUUCUUUAAAGGAGAAAAUGCAGUGUUUACAUUACAGCCUAGUGUUAACUCCACUGGCCACUCCUCAGAUGGCUGCUAGAGCUGCUUCCCGUGGCAGUGCUGCACAAUGAGCAGCACUACCAUUCAG